GGGGGUUGAAAACUGCUCCCUAAAUGAGCUAAGGCAUCUCCACAUUGGUUUUUUUCUUGAAAAAUAUGCUUCAACGAACUAGCAAUCAAAGAUAGGCAGAGCAUCUUGCAAUCAUCAAUUAAGGAGCAAGAAAGAAGUUAGCAACAUUAACAUUAGAUAAGAGAUGUAUAACAGAGGUAGCAUCAACUUCAAUCUCAGGGUUAUCUAAGCUAAG
This 214-nucleotide long non-coding RNA is filed under the name Gossypium raimondii (Peruvian cotton). RNAcentral describes it as "long non-coding RNA (GRAI_LNC006465)". The record is from RNAcentral. Lineage: Eukaryota; Viridiplantae; Streptophyta; Magnoliopsida; Malvales; Malvaceae.